ACUCAAAUGAAUAGACGGGGGCUCACACAAGCGGUGGAGGAUGUGGCUUAAUUCGAGGCUACGCGAAGAACCUUAUCCUAGUCUUGACAUGCACGGAUUAACUCCUUGAAAGAGGAGCCAGGCCUUCGGGUACAACGUGCACAGGUGCUGCAUGGCUGUCGUCAGCUCGUGUCGUGAGAUGUCGCGUUAAGUCGCUUAACGAGCGAAACCCUUGUCAGUAGUUGCCAACGCGUCAUGGCGGGGACUCUACUGAGACUGCCGGUGUUAAACCGGAGGAAGGCGGGGACGACGUCAAGUCCUCAUGGCCUUUAUGACUAGGGCUGCACACGUCCUACAAUGGCACGCACAAAGGGAAGCAAACUCGCGAGAGCAAGCAAAUCCCAAAAAACGUGCCCCAGUUCGGAUUGCAGGCUGCAACUCGCCUGCAUGAAGCCGGAAUCGCUAGUAAUCGCGGGUCAGCAUACCGCGGUGAAUGUGUUCCUGAGCCUUGCACACACCGCCCGU
This 504-nucleotide ribosomal RNA is filed under the name uncultured bacterium. RNAcentral describes it as "partial 16S ribosomal RNA". It matches the Rfam family "Bacterial small subunit ribosomal RNA", at positions 899 to 1397 of the family's 1533-position model. The record is from RNAcentral.